Molecule: transfer RNA, 66 nt
Filed under: Mycalesis francisca (lilacine bushbrown)
Lineage: Eukaryota; Metazoa; Arthropoda; Insecta; Lepidoptera; Nymphalidae
Description: tRNA-Tyr
Rfam family: tRNA
About the family: Transfer RNA (tRNA) molecules are approximately 80 nucleotides in length.
Source: RNAcentral
AGUAAAAUGGCUGAGGUAUAAGCGAUAAAUUGUAAAUUUAUAGACGAAAAAAAAAUUCUUUUACUA